This 481-nucleotide ribosomal RNA is filed under the name uncultured bacterium. RNAcentral describes it as "partial 16S ribosomal RNA". It matches the Rfam family "Bacterial small subunit ribosomal RNA", at positions 30 to 507 of the family's 1533-position model. The record is from RNAcentral.
AUUGAACGCUGGCGGCAUGCCUUACACAUGCAAGUCGAACGGUAACGGGCCUUCGGGUGCCGACGAGUGGCGAACGGGUGAGUAAUACAUCGGAACGUGCCCGAUCGUGGGGGAUAACGAGGCGAAAGCUUUGCUAAUACCGCAUACGAUCUACGGAUGAAAGCAGGGGACCGCAAGGCCUUGCGCGGACGGAGCGGCCGAUGGCAGAUUAGGUAGUUGGUGGGAUAAAAGCUUACCAAGCCGACGAUCUGUAGCUGGUCUGAGAGGAUGAUCAGCCACACUGGGACUGAGACACGGCCCAGACUCCUACGGGAGGCAGCAGGGGGGAAUUUUGGCCAAUGGGCGCAAGCCUGAUCCAGCCAUGCCGCGUGCAGGAUGAAGGCCUUCGGGUUGUAAACUGCUUUGUACGGAACGAAAAGCCUUCUUUUAAUACAGGAGGGUCAUGACGGUACCGUAAGAAUAAGCACCGGCUAACUACGUG